CCCUUAGAUGUCCGGGGCCGCACGCGCGCUACACUGAAGGAAUCAGCGUGGCUUUCUCCCUGACCCGAAAGGGUUGGGAAACCCGUUGAAUCUCCUUCGUGAUAGGGAUUGGGGCUUGAAAUUGUUCCCCAUGAACGAGGAAUUCCCAGUAAGCGCGAGUCAUAAGCUCGCGUUGAUUACGUCCCUGCCCUUUGUACACACCGCCCGUCGCUACUACCGAUUGAACGGUUUAGUGAGGGCCUCGGAUUGGUCUCGGCCCGCUCUUUACCGGGCGGUGCCGUUGGUCGAGAAGACGCUCGAACUUGAUCGUUUAGAGGAAGUAAAAGUCGUAACA
Molecule: ribosomal RNA, 334 nt
Filed under: uncultured eukaryote
Lineage: Eukaryota
Description: partial 18S ribosomal RNA
Rfam family: Eukaryotic small subunit ribosomal RNA
Source: RNAcentral